AUGGACAUGGCCAGGCUGAUGAAUGGGUGCUUCAUGAGUGCAAGCAUCUUCAGUGAACUACUGAAAGAAAUUCUUAACCUCCAUUUCUGGAGUAGGGCCCUUGCAGCCGUGAAGAAUUCAAAGCAGACGAAGAUCUCAGUCAUAAUCAAGAAGCCCGAAGGAAUUUUUAUGGAGUAUGCCUCCAAGGGUCUUUUCUUGACCAAGUCGGUGAUCUACAAUUUCAGUGUCUUACUUCUCGAGAUUUUAAGCGGGAAAAGGAAUGCAAGCUUCUUGAAUCUCAUAGGACACGUAUGCAAGCUGAGGCAAGAAGCGAACGGGCAUGAGUUGGUCGACAUGGUACUUGGGCUUGACUGCCUGGUGUCCAAGGUGAUGAACGAGGGGAUCAGACUGCCAGAGCCCAAGCAGCCGGCCUACUUCAAUGUCAGGAUGUCGAGCAUCCAGGAGUCAGUCAGACCGGUUGCCCGGUCGUCCUACAUCAGCAUCGACGUCGUCUUACGCGGGGUGGCUAUUUUUAGUGGCAAGGUUAAUGGGUGCAGGCUUGAGCGUCUUGGUGGACAACUAAGGGUUCCGUUCGUCGUCUCCACAGUGCAGCGCGUGGAGGGAGGGGAGGUGCGAAGGCUGGUGCUCCCGCCGCAAUGGGGGCUCCCUAGGCUAGUUGCAGAAUUCAGACAAUAA
This 675-nucleotide ribosomal RNA is filed under the name Triticum aestivum (bread wheat). Its description in RNAcentral is "partial small subunit ribosomal RNA". Lineage: Eukaryota; Viridiplantae; Streptophyta; Magnoliopsida; Poales; Poaceae. The record is from RNAcentral.